AGUUGCUGAGUACCCACUGAGGCCCACCUGGCUCCCUCAAGGGAAGACUGCCACCAUCGUGAUCCAGUCAGGACCAUUGAAGGUGGAAGCCACCAUCACUCCUACCAGCCAGUGAGAAGUGUCCAUAGCCACUAGCCUGCGACAUUCACAUCAGAGAACGAAAACAGCCUUCAGAAGGCCCUGGAGGGCUCAGGACACCACCCUUGGCUAUGACCAGC
This is a long non-coding RNA of Nannospalax galili (Upper Galilee mountains blind mole rat), 218 nucleotides long. RefSeq lists it as uncharacterized. Lineage: Eukaryota; Metazoa; Chordata; Mammalia; Rodentia; Spalacidae. The transcript is spliced from 3 exons. The record is from RefSeq and is a predicted model, not a curated record.